AUUGAACGCUGGCGGCAUGCCUUACACAUGCAAGUCGAACGGUAACAGGUCUUCGGAUGCUGACGAGUGGCGAACGGGUGAGUAAUACAUCGGAACGUGCCCGAUCGUGGGGGAUAACGAAGCGAGAGCUUUGCUAAUACCGCAUACGAUCUACGGAUGAAAGCAGGGGACCGCAAGGCCUUGCGCGAACGGAGCGGCCGAUGGCAGAUUAGGUAGUUGGUGGGAUAAAAGCUUACCAAGCCGACGAUCUGUAGCUGGUCUGAGAGGACGACCAGCCACACUGGGACUGAGACACGGCCCAGACUCCUACGGGAGGCAGCAGUGGGGAAUUUUGGACAAUGGGCGAAAGCCUGAUCCAGCCAUGCCGCGUGCAGGAUGAAGGCCUUCGGGUUGUAAACUGCUUUUGUACGGAACGAAAAGACUCUGGUUAAUACCUGGGGUCCAUGACGGUACCGUAAGAAUAAGCACCGGCUAACUACGUG
This 482-nucleotide ribosomal RNA is filed under the name uncultured bacterium. RNAcentral's name for it is "partial 16S ribosomal RNA". It matches the Rfam family "Bacterial small subunit ribosomal RNA", at positions 30 to 507 of the family's 1533-position model. The record is from RNAcentral.